RNAcentral lists this ribosomal RNA (523 nucleotides) under uncultured archaeon. RNAcentral's name for it is "bacterial SSU rRNA". It matches the Rfam family "Archaeal small subunit ribosomal RNA", at positions 325 to 849 of the family's 1478-position model. The record is from RNAcentral.
ACGGGGUGCAGCAGGCGCGAAAACUGGCCAAUGCGCGAAAGCGUGAGCCGGUCAAUCCGAGUGUAGACCCAUCGGUCUACUUUUAUUAUGUAUACAACGCAUGAUGAAUAACGAGAGGGCAAGACUGGUGCCAGCCGCCGCGGUAAAACCAGCUCUUGGAGUGGUGAUCAUGAUUAUUUGGCUUAAAGUGUGCGUAGCAGGACAGCGUAAGUCCCCUGUGAAAUGCUAGGUCUUAAGCUUAGCACGUGCAGGGGAUACUGCGCGUCUUGGGACCGGGAUAGGUGUAAUGUACGCGACGGGUAGGGGUGAAAUCCGAUAAUCCAUCGCGGACAACCGGUGGCGAAGGCGUUACACUGGAACGGGUCCGACUGUGAGGCACGAAAGCUAGGGUCGCGAGCCGGAUUAGAUACCCGGGUAGUCCUAUGCUGUAAACGAUGCUCAUUAAGUGUUAGGUAACGCAAGACGUUACCUAGUGCCGAAGCGAAAGCGUUAAAUGAGCCGCCUGGAAGUACGUUCGCAAGAA